Molecule: ribosomal RNA, 170 nt
Filed under: uncultured bacterium
Lineage: Bacteria
Description: partial 16S ribosomal RNA
Rfam family: Bacterial small subunit ribosomal RNA
Source: RNAcentral
AAUUGCUAGUAAUGGCAGGUCAGCAUACUGCCGUGAAUACGUUCCCGGGCCUUGUACACACCGCCCGUCACACCAUGAGAGUUGGGAAUACCCGAAGCCUGUGAGCUAACUUAUAGAGGCAGCAGUCGAAGGUAGAAUCAAUGAUUGGGGUGAAGUCGUAACAAGGUACC